RNAcentral lists this unclassified non-coding RNA (352 nucleotides) under soil metagenome. RNAcentral describes it as "partial contains 5.8S ribosomal RNA, internal transcribed spacer 2, and large subunit ribosomal RNA". The stretch from base 1 to 120 matches the Rfam family "5.8S ribosomal RNA", at positions 35 to 154 of the family's 154-position model. The record is from RNAcentral.
GAUGAAGAACGUAGCGAAAUGCGAUAAGUAAUGUGAAUUGCAGAAUUCAGUGAAUCAUCGAAUCUUUGAACGCACAUUGCGCCCGCCAGUAUUCUGGCGGGCAUGCCUGCUCGAGCGUCAUUACAACCCUCAGGCCCCCGGGCCUGGCGUUGGGGAUCGGCGGAAGCCCCCUGUGGGCACACGCCGUCCCUCAAAUACAGUGGCGGUCCCGCCGCAGCUUCCAUUGCGUAGUAGCUAACACCUCGCAACUGGAGAGCGGCGCGGCCAUGCCGUAAAACACCCAACUUCUGAAUGUUGACCUCGAAUCAGGUAGGAAUACCCGCUGAACUUAAGCAUAUCAAUAAGCGGAGGA